This is a long non-coding RNA of Macadamia integrifolia, 761 nucleotides long. RefSeq lists it as uncharacterized. The record is from RefSeq and is a predicted model, not a curated record. NCBI's taxonomy places the organism in Eukaryota, Viridiplantae, Streptophyta, Magnoliopsida, Proteales, Proteaceae. The transcript has 6 exons.
UACCUAUUCAGGGUGAAAUGAUUACACCUGCAGAGGAAUCAAGUAGUUCUCUUCAGGGUUUUUAGCAUUCAUUGCUGCAAAACAGUGACGGGCACUCUUUUGAUAAAGCUUUCCCUUAUGCAUUCAGUAUUCUAAACAUUGAAGGUCUCAUGUUGGAGUUCAUGUUUCAAGUAAUGGUACUUGGCUGGUUUUUAGAGAGGGAGAAUUUGCACCCAAAACUUGUAGGAACUGUGCUUGCAUGCUCUAUACUUCUGUGGGGAAAUAGUGGGUUAGUCUAGCGGUAUCUCUUUUCAAAAGCCAUUGCUACUUUCAAGGUAGUUGUGUGCACCUGAUUUUAGACCCUUUGUUUGCAAACAUGAAGGAACAGAGGAUGAAUUCAUCAUCUCAUCAGAUGAGAAGGGGUCGAUUGAGCUGUGGAUACUGUGGUGAGAGGUGAAGUGUUGGAAGGAGAGUUGGAGACAGAACAAGAGGUCUCAACAAGAGCCAUGAGCAUUUAGCUAUUGUUGGCUUGUGUAAAAUCUCCUCUUUAUAUAUAUAUAUAUAUAUAUAUAUAUAUAUCUCAUUGGAAAGUUGGUGCAAUCAUCUCUUGUAAAACACAGCAAGGCUUCUGUUCAAUUGGAAGGGGAAAAAAAAAACAAUGAAAAGAAAAACUGGGAGGAAAAAUGUACAUGCUCAUUUAGAAACUGUAGCUUGUAUAAAACAUUUUUCUCAUUCAAGGAAACGGGGUUCACAUUUUACCUCAUUCAAUGCUCCACGCGCAA